This 504-nucleotide ribosomal RNA is filed under the name uncultured bacterium. RNAcentral's name for it is "bacterial SSU rRNA". It matches the Rfam family "Bacterial small subunit ribosomal RNA", at positions 29 to 509 of the family's 1533-position model. The record is from RNAcentral.
AAUGAACGCUGGCGGCGUGCUUAACACAUGCAAGUCGGACGAGAAAGGCUGAUUUCGGUUGGCCGAGUAAAGUGGCGCACGGGUGAGUAACGCGUAGGCAACCUACCCUUGUAUUGGGGAUAACCCUGCGAAAGUGGGGCUAAUACCGGAUGAGACCCUAUUCUGGAGGGGAUAGGGUGAAAGUCGGCCGCUCGGAGAAGCUGACGUACGAGGAUGGGCCUGCGUCCUAUCAGCUGGUUGGUGGGGUAGCGGCCUACCAAGGCGACGACGGGUAGCUGGUCUGAGAGGAUGAUCAGCCACACUGGCACUGGAACACGGGCCAGACUCCUACGGGAGGCAGCAGUGAGGAAUUUUGCGCAAUGGCCGCAAGGCUGACGCAGCAACGCCGCGUGGGUGAUGAAGGCCUUCGGGUCGUAAAGCCCUGUCAGGUGGGAAGAAGGCCUUAAGGAGAAAGACUUGAGGUUUGACGGUACCACCAGAGGAAGCACCGGCUAACUCCGUGCC